This 500-nucleotide ribosomal RNA is filed under the name uncultured bacterium. RNAcentral describes it as "partial 16S ribosomal RNA". It matches the Rfam family "Bacterial small subunit ribosomal RNA", at positions 30 to 523 of the family's 1533-position model. The record is from RNAcentral.
AUUGAACGCUGGCGGCAGGCCUAACACAUGCAAGUCGAGCGGAUGAAGGGAGCUUGCUCCUGGAUUCAGCGACGGACGGGUGAGUAAUGCCUAGGAAUCUGCCUGGUAGUGGGGGACAACGUUUCGAAAGGAACGCUAAUACCGCAUCCGUCCUACGGGAGAAAGCAGGGGACCUUCGGGCCUUGCGCUAGCAGAUGAGCCUAGGUCGGAUUAGCUAGUUGGUGAGGUAAUGGCUCACCAAGGCGACGAUCCGUAACUGGUCUGAGAGGAUGAUCAGUCACACUGGAACUGAGACACGGUCCAGACUCCUACGGGAGGCAGCAGUGGGGAAUAUUGGACAAUGGGCGAAAGCCUGAUCCAGCCAUGCCGCGUGUGUGAAGAAGGUCUUCGGAUUGUAAAGCACUUUAAGUUGGGAGGAAGGGUUGUAGAUUAAUACUCUGCAAUUUUGACGUUACCGACAGAAUAAGCACCGGCUAACUCUGUGCCAGCAGCCGCCGCCG